UCUUGAUCUUGCCUUCACCAACCUCUGUACUGCCUCUAAUCUCUUCAAUAUUAGAGGCAGUACAGAGGUUGGUGAAGGCAAGAUCAAGAGU
Pelobates cultripes (western spadefoot toad) is the source of this 91-nucleotide non-coding RNA. NCBI's taxonomy places the organism in Eukaryota, Metazoa, Chordata, Amphibia, Anura, Pelobatidae. The record is from the annotation of a GenBank genome assembly.